UUGGUUAAGUUAGAAAGGGCGCACGGUGGAUGCCUUGGCACUAGGAGCCGAAGAAGGACGGGACUAACACCGAUAUGCUUUGGGGAGCUGUACGUAAGCGUUGAUCCAGAGAUUUCCGAAUGGGGGAACCCACUAUCUUUAGUCGGAUAGUAUCCUUACGUGAAUACAUAGCGUGAGGAAGGCAGACCCAGGGAACUGAAACAUCUAAGUACCUGGAGGAAGAGAAAGAAAAAUCGAUUUCCUGAGUAGCGGCGAGCGAAACGGAAAGAGCCCAAACCAAGAAGCUUGCUUCUUGGGGUUGUAGGACACUCUAUACGGAGUUACAAAAGAAAGUUAUAAAUGAAGCGGUCUGGAAAGGCCCGCCAAAGACGGUAACAGCCCGGUAGUUGAAAUGGCUUUCCCUCCAGAGUGGAUCCUGAGUACGGCGGAACACGUGAAAUUCCGUCGGAAUCCGGGAGGACCAUCUCCCAAGGCUAAAUACUCCCUAGUGACCGAUAGUGAACCAGUACCGUGAGGGAAAGGUGAAAAGCACCCCGGAAGGGGAGUGAAACAGUUCCUGAAACCGUGUGCCUACAAGUAGUUAGAGCCCGUUAAUGGGUGAUAGCGUGCCUUUUGUAGAAUGAACCGGCGAGUUACGAUUUGUUGCAAGGUUAAGCGGAAAAAGCGGAGCCGUAGCGAAAGCGAGUCUGAAUAGGGCGCAUAAGUAACAGGUCGUAGACCCGAAACCAGGUGAUCUACCCAUGUCCAGGAUGAAGGUAAGGUAAUACUUACUGGAGGUCCGAACCCACGCACGUUGAAAAGUGCGGGGAUGAGGUGUGGGUAGCGGAGAAAUUCCAAUCGAACUUGGAGAUAGCUGGUUCUCUCCGAAAUAGCUUUAGGGCUAGCCUCGAGGUAAAGAGUCAUGGAGGUAGAGCACUGUUUGGACUAGGGGCCCUUCUCGGGUUACCGAAUUCAGAUAAACUCCGAAUGCCAUGUACUUAUACUCGGGAGUCAGACUGCGAGUGAUAAGAUCCGUAGUCGAAAGGGAAACAGCCCAGACCACCAGUUAAGGUCCCCAAAUAUAUGUUAAGUGGAAAAGGAUGUGGGGUUGCUUAGACAACCAGGAUGUUGGCUUAGAAGCAGCCACCAUUGAAAGAGUGCGUAAUAGCUCACUGGUCGAGUGACCCCGCGCCGAAAAUGUACCGGGGCUAAACAUAUUACCGAAACUGUGGAUGAACCUCUUUAGAGGUUCGUGGUAGGAGAGCGUUCUAAGGGCGGUGAAGUCAGACCGGAAGGACUGGUGGAGCGCUUAGAAGUGAGAAUGCCGGUAUGAGUAGCGAAAGAAGGGUGAGAAUCCCUUCCACCGAAUAUCUAAGGUUUCCUGAGGAAGGCUCGUCCGCUCAGGGUUAGUCGGGACCUAAGCCGAGGCCGAUAGGCGUAGGCGAUGGACAACAGGUAGAGAUUCCUGUACCAGUGCUAAUUGUUUAACCGAUGGGGUGACACAGAAGGAUAGGGAAUCGCACGAAUGGAAAUGUGCGUCCAAGCAGUGAGUGUGAGAAGUAGGCAAAUCCGCUUCUCGCGAAGCAUGAGCUGUGAUGGGGAAGGAAAUUAAGUACGGAAGUUCCUGAUUUCACGCUGUCAAGAAAAGCCUCUAGGAAGAGUAGUACUGCCCGUACCGCAAACCGACACAGGUAGAUGAGGAGAGAAUCCUAAGGUGAGCGAGAGAACUCUCGUUAAGGAACUCGGCAAAAUGACCCCGUAACUUCGGGAGAAGGGGUGCUCUAUUAGGGUGCAAGCCCGAGAGAGCCGCAGUGAAUAGGCCCAGGCGACUGUUUAGCAAAAACACAGGUCUCUGCAAAACCGUAAGGUGACGUAUAGGGGCUGACGCCUGCCCGGUGCUGGAAGGUUAAGAGGAGUGCUUAGCUUCGGCGAAGGUACGAAUUGAAGCCCCAGUAAACGGCGGCCGUAACUAUAACGGUCCUAAGGUAGCGAAAUUCCUUGUCGGGUAAGUUCCGACCCGCACGAAAGGCGCAACGAUCUGGGCACUGUCUCAACGAGAGACUCGGUGAAAUUAUAGUACCUGUGAAGAUGCAGGUUACCCGCGACAGGACGGAAAGACCCCGUGGAGCUUUACUGCAACCUGAUAUGGAAUGUUUGUACCGCUUGUACAGGAUAGGUAGGAGCCGAAGAGACGUGUGCGCUAGCAUACGAGGAGGCAAUGGUGGGAUACUACCCUGGCUGUAUGACCAUUCUAACCCGCCACGCUUAGCGCGUGGGGAGACAGUGUCAGGUGGGCAGUUUGACUGGGGCGGUCGCCUCCUAAAGAGUAACGGAGGCGCCCAAAGGUUCCCUCAGAAUGG
RNAcentral lists this ribosomal RNA (2339 nucleotides) under Listeria monocytogenes. RNAcentral describes it as "partial 23S ribosomal RNA". It matches the Rfam family "Bacterial large subunit ribosomal RNA", at positions 1 to 2330 of the family's 2925-position model. Lineage: Bacteria; Bacillati; Bacillota; Bacilli; Caryophanales; Listeriaceae. The record is from RNAcentral.